GAUGAACGCUGGCGGCGUGCCUAAUACAUGCAAGUCGAGCGAACAGACGAGGAGCUUACUCCUCUGACGUUAGCGGCGGACGGGUGAGUAACACGUGGAUAACCUACCUAUAAGACUGGGAUAACUUCGGGAAACCGGAGCUAAUACCGGAUAGCAUGUUGAACCGCAUGGUUCAACAGUGAAAGACGGUCUUGCUGUCACUUAUAGAUGGAUCCGCGUCGCAUUAGCUAGUUGGUAAGGUAACGGCUUACCAAGGCAACGAUGCGUAGCCGACCUGAGAGGGUGAUCGGCCACACUGGAACUGAGACACGGUCCAGACUCCUACGGGAGGCAGCAGUAGGGAAUCUUCCGCAAUGGGCGAAAGCCUGACGGAGCAACGCCGCGUGAGUGAAGAAGGUCUUCGGAUCGUAAAACUCUGUUAUUAGGGAAGAACAAAUGUGUAAGUAACUAUGCACGUCUUGACGGUACCUAAUCAGAAAGCCACGGCUAACUACGUG
RNAcentral lists this ribosomal RNA (497 nucleotides) under uncultured bacterium. RNAcentral's name for it is "partial 16S ribosomal RNA". It matches the Rfam family "Bacterial small subunit ribosomal RNA", at positions 28 to 507 of the family's 1533-position model. The record is from RNAcentral.